UGCAAGGCUUGGAUCUCAACUACCUUCUCGAAAAUAAUGAAGCAUCAGAAUUUUUGGUGGUUGGUAAUAUACCGACACUUAAUGCUAAUAAUGAUCAAAAGAUAUUAUCGCCCACACUGUCCAACGAUAAUACUGAAAAUGUUGCCUUUGGACGAGAAGAUGUUUCUCCGAUUGAUGAAAUUGAAACAGUGCAAAUAGUGACAACCCCUAGCAUAAUUCCUGAACCUGUUCAAACAGUUACGCAGCAUAACGGAGACAGUAUUACCUUUGAACAACCAACUUUAUUUACCCAUCACAUCGAUCAGGUGACAAAUACUGAAAUAUUGGAAAAGAUUGAUGAGGCCAAAGCUGAAAUUGUUUCCACCGUG
Long non-coding RNA from Wyeomyia smithii (pitcher-plant mosquito), 368 nucleotides. RefSeq lists it as uncharacterized. The transcript has 3 exons. The record is from RefSeq and is a predicted model, not a curated record. Lineage: Eukaryota; Metazoa; Arthropoda; Insecta; Diptera; Culicidae.